GGGUAUAGGGGCGAAAGACUAAUCGAACCAUCUAGUAGCUGGUUCCGCCUGAAGUUUCCCUCAGGAUAGCUGAUUAUAAGAAGAGUUUAAUCCGGUAAAGCGAAUGAUUAGAAGAAUUGGGAGCGCAAAGCUUUUGACUUAUUCUCAAACUUUAAAUGGGUUAGAAAUACUUGACGCUUAUUUGGACAAGUAUCUGUGAAUCAUAUGAUCUAGUGGGCCAAUUUUGGUAAGCAGAACUGGCGCUGUGGGAUGAACCAAAAGUUGAUUUAAAGUAUCAAACUCUUAGCAAAUCAGAUUCCACGAAAGGUGUAAAUUGCUCAAGACAGCAGGACGGUGGCCAUGGAAGUCGGAAACCGCUAAGGAAUGUGUAACAACCCACCUGCCGAAGCAAUUGGCCCUGAAAAUGGAUGACGCUGUAGCUAAGGGAAACUUAUAGUUAACUGAAGAUAUUUCAAUCUUCAAGUAAGGCGGUUGACAAAUGUGCGCUAAAAAAAUAGAUAAAUCUAUUUCAAAGCAAAUUUGUGUACAGAUCUUGGUGGUAGUAGCAAAUAUUCCAAGGAGACCUUGGAAGGCCGAAGUGGAGAAGGGUUUCGUGUGAACAGUUGUUGGACACGAGUGAGGCGGUCCUAAAGUUUAUCGGAAGCGAGAAAUAAUAUGGGUUAGACCAUGUUUAACUGAAAGGGAAAUAGGUUCAUAUUCCUAUGCAUAUACAGUUGAUAUUCUAUACUUGUAUAGACCUGGUAACAGGCUUGUUUAUUCAGACCGUUAUUCUCAAGUUAGGAAGAGUUUUCUUUUCUAUAUAAAUAAGUCAAACCUUUGAAAAGUCUAGAGCUGAGAGAAGGUUCAAACUUAUUAAGAGCAGUUCAGUUCUUGUGCUGUCUAAGCGAGAGAAUAGUGCCAUGAAAAUGAAUAAUCAGACAAGUUCAACCAUAUGCCGUACCCAUAUCCGCAGCAGGUCUCCAAGGUGAAAAGCCUCUGGCUAAUAGAAUAAUGUAGGUAAGGGAAG
This 1006-nucleotide ribosomal RNA is filed under the name Isochrysis galbana. RNAcentral's name for it is "partial Eukaryotic large subunit ribosomal RNA". It matches the Rfam family "Eukaryotic large subunit ribosomal RNA", at positions 913 to 1913 of the family's 3401-position model. The record is from RNAcentral. Lineage: Eukaryota; Haptophyta; Isochrysidales; Isochrysidaceae.